RNAcentral lists this ribosomal RNA (253 nucleotides) under uncultured bacterium. Its description in RNAcentral is "partial 16S ribosomal RNA". It matches the Rfam family "Bacterial small subunit ribosomal RNA", at positions 524 to 776 of the family's 1533-position model. The record is from RNAcentral.
UACGUAGGGGGCUAGCGUUGUCCGGAAUCAUUGGGCGUAAAGAGCGUGUAGGCGGUCCGGUAAGUCCGCUGUGAAAGUCGGGGGCUCAACCCUCGAAUGCCGGUGGAUACUGUCGGGCUAGAGUGCGGAAGAGGCGAGUGGAAUUCCUGGUGUAGCGGUGAAAUGCGCAGAUAUCGGGAGGAACACCAGUGGCGAAGGCGGCGACCUGGGCCAAUAUUGACGCUGAGGUGCGAAAGCGUGGGGAGCAAACAGG